UCCAAGGGGAGCCAAACAUGGCUGAGAGUGGACAGUGUCCUUACCCUUCGAACCUGUUAGUUAAUACUAGCGUAGGAAUGGUGGCUUU
This 88-nucleotide non-coding RNA is filed under the name Thalassobacillus devorans. RNAcentral's name for it is "TPP riboswitch (THI element)". It matches the Rfam family "TPP riboswitch aptamer (THI element)", at positions 8 to 91 of the family's 105-position model. From Rfam's summary of the family: Vitamin B(1) in its active form thiamin pyrophosphate (TPP) is an essential coenzyme that is synthesised by coupling of pyrimidine and thiazole moieties in bacteria. The previously detected thiamin-regulatory element, thi box was extended, resulting in a new, highly conserved RNA secondary structure, the THI element, which is widely distributed in eubacteria and also occurs in some archaea. The record is from RNAcentral. Lineage: Bacteria; Bacillati; Bacillota; Bacilli; Caryophanales; Bacillaceae.